This 514-nucleotide ribosomal RNA is filed under the name uncultured Chloroflexota bacterium. RNAcentral describes it as "bacterial SSU rRNA". It matches the Rfam family "Bacterial small subunit ribosomal RNA", at positions 366 to 896 of the family's 1533-position model. The record is from RNAcentral. Lineage: Bacteria; Bacillati; Chloroflexota.
GCACAAUGGGCGAAAGCCUGAUGCAGCAACGCCGCGUGCACGAUGAAGGCCUUCGGGUCGUAAAGUGCUUUUCGGGGAGAUGAGAAAGGACAGUAUCCCCGGAAUAAGGAUCGGCUAACUACGUGCCAGCAGCCGCGGUAAACGUAGGAUCCGAGCGUUAUCCGAAUUUACUGGGCGUAAAGCGCGUGUAGGCGGUUCGGUAAGUUGGAUGUGAAAUCUCCUGGCUCAACUGGGAGAGGUCGUUCAAUACUGUCGGACUAGAGGGUGGUAGAGGGAGGUGGAAUUCCCGGUGUAGUGGUGAAAUGCGUAGAUAUCGGGAGGAACACCAGUGGCGAAAGCGGCCUCCUAGACCGCUCCUGACGCUCAGACGCGAAAGCUAGGGGAGCAAACGGGAUUAGAAACCCCGGUAGUCCUAGCUGUAAACGAUGUGAACUUGGCGUUGGUGGGGUAAAAGCCAUCAGUGCCGAAGCUAACGCGAUAAGUUCACCGCCUGGGGACUACGGCCGCAAGGUUA